RNAcentral lists this non-coding RNA (24 nucleotides) under Arabidopsis thaliana (thale cress). The record is from RNAcentral. Lineage: Eukaryota; Viridiplantae; Streptophyta; Magnoliopsida; Brassicales; Brassicaceae.
GGAAGUGAAAGUGAAAGUGAUGAU